Molecule: ribosomal RNA, 564 nt
Filed under: Coccocrater sp. MNHN IM 2013-42581
Lineage: Eukaryota; Metazoa; Mollusca; Gastropoda; Cocculinidae
Description: partial large subunit ribosomal RNA
Rfam family: Eukaryotic large subunit ribosomal RNA
Source: RNAcentral
GAAUCCGAGCGACCGAAAGGCGCGAGGAGUUGUAGUGUACGGGGUCCCCAUUCCUUCGUCCAACGUUCGCGUGCCAAAGUCGCAUGGAAGGUGCUGUCGCUCCACAGCGGGUGUCAGACCCUUGUGGCUGCGCGUUCGGACGCAGGUCUGGCGGGACCUCGAGAGUCGGGUUGUUUGAGAUUGCAACCCAAAGGUCGGUGGUAAGCGCCAUCGAAGGCUAAAUACGUCCACGAGACCGAAAGCGCACAAGUACCGUAAGGGAACGUUGAAAAGGACUUGUGAUUGAUAGUUCAAAGUACGUGAACCUGCCUAGAGCGAAACGAGUGGCACCGCAAUAGCGGCUAGCGGCGUUCAGCCGUGCGUCACGAUCGCUUUCGCGCGAGUUGUGGUCGAGGCGAUCGGGCGGUCGGUAAUUCUUCCGACCGGCAGUCGCUUCGACUCGCGAGCUUGCGAGGGAGCGGUGAAGGAUCCCCGCGCGCAUAUUGGGCCUCGUGUCCGCACGCGGCCGUGUCGUCCUCGCGACGAGACGACUGCUGCGGGCGGCUCGAGCGCGGGCGUCGAUCU